Molecule: ribosomal RNA, 557 nt
Filed under: [Candida] sp. CBS 10848
Lineage: Eukaryota; Fungi; Ascomycota; Saccharomycetes; Saccharomycetales
Also listed under: 1 other name
Description: eukaryotic LSU rRNA
Rfam family: Eukaryotic large subunit ribosomal RNA
Source: RNAcentral
AAACCAACAGGGAUUGCCUUAGUAACGGCGAGUGAAGCGGCAAAAGCUCAAAUUUGAAAUCUGGCGCAAGCCCGAGUUGUAAUUUGAAGAAGGUAAUUUUUGGGGAGAUGUUGGCAGAAGUUCCUUGGAAUAGGACGUCAUAGAGGGUGAGAAUCCCGUUUUGCUGACCUCUCUCUCCUUGUAAAAUGCUUUCGAAGAGUCGAGUUGUUUGGGAAUGCAGCUCUAAGUGGGUGGUAAAUUCCAUCUAAAGCUAAAUAUUGGCGAGAGACCGAUAGCGAACAAGUACAGUGAUGGAAAGAUGAAAAGAACUUUGAAAAGAGAGUGAAAAAGUACGUGAAAUUGUUGAAAGGGAAGGGUUUUAAGGGAGACAUGGGAGGUAAUGAACAACUUUCUCUUGGGAAGGUGCACUCGUUGCUUUCUGGGCCAAUAUGGGUUUGAAGAGUGGGAUAAAAGGGAAGGAAUGUGGCCACCUCGGUGGUGUUAUAGCCUUCUCCAAUACUGCUACUUCAGACCAAGGAACGCGAUUCUAGGAUAUUGGCGUAAUCCCUUUAAACCAC